RNAcentral lists this ribosomal RNA (608 nucleotides) under Exiguobacterium profundum. RNAcentral describes it as "bacterial SSU rRNA". It matches the Rfam family "Bacterial small subunit ribosomal RNA", at positions 75 to 664 of the family's 1533-position model. Lineage: Bacteria; Bacillati; Bacillota; Bacilli; Caryophanales. The record is from RNAcentral.
CCCUUCGGGGGGACGACGGUGGAAUGAGCGGCGGACGGGUGAGUAACACGUAAAGAACCUGCCCAUAGGUCUGGGAUAACCACGAGAAAUCGGGGCUAAUACCGGAUGUGUCAUCGGACCGCAUGGUCCGCUGAUGAAAGGCGCUCCGGCGUCGCCCAUGGAUGGCUUUGCGGUGCAUUAGCUAGUUGGUGGGGUAACGGCCCACCAAGGCGACGAUGCAUAGCCGACCUGAGAGGGUGAUCGGCCACACUGGGACUGAGACACGGCCCAGACUCCUACGGGAGGCAGCAGUAGGGAAUCUUCCACAAUGGACGAAAGUCUGAUGGAGCAACGCCGCGUGAACGAUGAAGGCUUUCGGGUCGUAAAGUUCUGUUGUAAGGGAAGAACAAGUGCCGCAGGCAAUGGCGGCACCUUGACGGUACCUUGCGAGAAAGCCACGGCUAACUACGUGCCAGCAGCCGCGGUAAUACGUAGGUGGCAAGCGUUGUCCGGAAUUAUUGGGCGUAAAGCGCGCGCAGGCGGCCUCUUAAGUCUGAUGUGAAAGCCCCCGGCUCAACCGGGGAGGGCCAUUGGAAACUGGGAGGCUUGAGUAUAGGAGAGAAGAGUGG